RNAcentral lists this ribosomal RNA (491 nucleotides) under Marinobacter sp. Its description in RNAcentral is "bacterial SSU rRNA". It matches the Rfam family "Bacterial small subunit ribosomal RNA", at positions 49 to 531 of the family's 1533-position model. The record is from RNAcentral. Lineage: Bacteria; Pseudomonadati; Pseudomonadota; Gammaproteobacteria; Pseudomonadales; Marinobacteraceae.
UAACACAUGCAAGUCGAGCGGUAACAGGGGGUGCUUGCACCCCGCUGACGAGCGGCGGACGGGUGAGUAAUGCAUAGGAAACUGCCCAGUAGUGGGGGAUAGCCCGGGGAAACCCGGAUUAAUACCGCGUACGCCCUUCGGGGGAAAGCAGGGGAUCUUCGGACCUUGCGCUAUUGGAUGUGCCUAUGUCGGAUUAGCUAGUUGGUGGGGUAAAGGCCUACCAAGGCGACGAUCCGUAGCUGGUCUGAGAGGAUGAUCAGCCACAUCGGGACUGAGACACGGCCCGAACUCCUACGGGAGGCAGCAGUGGGGAAUAUUGGACAAUGGGGGCAACCCUGAUCCAGCCAUGCCGCGUGUGUGAAGAAGGCUUUCGGGUUGUAAAGCACUUUCAGUGAGGAGGAAAACUCUGCGACUAAUACUCGUAGGGCUUGACGUUACUCACAGAAGAAGCACCGGCUAACUCCGUGCCAGCAGCCGCGGUAAUACGGAGG